This 813-nucleotide unclassified non-coding RNA is filed under the name Stylophora pistillata. RNAcentral's name for it is "tachykinin-like peptides receptor 99D, transcript variant X1". The record is from RNAcentral. Lineage: Eukaryota; Metazoa; Cnidaria; Anthozoa; Scleractinia; Pocilloporidae.
GCUACCUAUCUUUGGUCACAAUUUUUCCACCCCAUUUGACGCUUACGCGUAUGUUUUAUGCAGCAUUUCUUUUCGAUUUGCAGAUCCCGCAAAGCCACGCUUUGGAAUAAACUCUGCAAUAGGAGAUGUAGAAUGUCACCUUUGAGCAGCUCUGUCCGAGAUUGUUUAUAUGUCUGAGUAUUGUAUCUUUUCCAGGAAAUAUUAUGCUCAGAUCUGGUAAUGAUUUGUAGUUGAAGUUAAUAACCAAUCGGAGAGCUUUGUCUCAAAAUGCUACUAGAUAUAAUUCUGUCCGCUUGCAGUCUUUGUGAGAAACUGUUUAUCAAUCAUUUCUACACUUUCUUCACAAUACAAUCAAAGUUCACCACGACUAUGAAAUCCUCGUUUCAGGAACGUUUUGUUUCCUUAAUCUUUUGAACGUGCAUGACUAAUUUUUUUUUUCUUUUAUGUGUAUUUUUUUCAGUUCAAAAAAUUUUCCUAGCAGUUUACAUGUGUUUCGUGCUGACUGCUCAUCUUUGAAUGAAUUUCAAGUGAUUAGCUGACUGAUCCAGGGAUCAAUGUAGCCCCACAGUCGUCGAGAUCAACAGAAUGAAGAUCUCAUUUACGCCAACGUUUAUUCCCGAAAAUUGACGUUUUUGCCAGUUCCUGGGCGAAUACUUGCUUCAGGAAGUAUUUUCAAGACGAGUAUUUCCUUAUCUAAAGAUCAGGAGCCCAGAAUUUGAAGGAGAGGUUUGAUGAUUUUGCGGUAAAUAACUGAGGGGUUAAUAAUUCCAGUGGCUGAAAUUACGGACUAGAGCGUGAGAAUCAAGCAUAAGG